This 496-nucleotide ribosomal RNA is filed under the name uncultured bacterium. RNAcentral's name for it is "partial 16S ribosomal RNA". It matches the Rfam family "Bacterial small subunit ribosomal RNA", at positions 28 to 506 of the family's 1533-position model. The record is from RNAcentral.
GAUGAACGCUGGCGGCGUGCCUAAUACAUGCAAGUCGAGCGAACAGACGAGGAGCUUGCUCCUCUGACGUUAGCGGCGGACGGGUGAGUAACACGUGGAUAACCUACCUAUAAGACUGGGAUAACUUCGGGAAACCGGAGCUAAUACCGGAUAAUAUAUUGAACCGCAUGGUUCAAUAGUGAAAGACGGUUUUGCUGUCACUUAUAGAUGGAUCCGCGCCGCAUUAGCUAGUUGGUAAGGUAACAGCUUACCAAGGCAACGAUGCGUAGCCGACCUGAGAGGGUGAUCGGCCACACUGGAACUGAGACACGGUCCAGACUCCUACGGGAGGCAGCAGUAGGGAAUCUGCCGCAAUGGGCGAAAGCCUGACGGAGCAACGCCGCGUGAGUGAUGAAGGUCUUCGGAUCGUAAAACUCUGUUAUUAGGGAAGAACAAAUGUGUAAGUAACUAUGCACGUCUUGACGGUACCUAAUCAGAAAGCCACGGCUAACUACGU